This 1649-nucleotide long non-coding RNA is filed under the name Citrus maxima (pomelo). Its description in RNAcentral is "long non-coding RNA (CMAX_LNC001167)". Lineage: Eukaryota; Viridiplantae; Streptophyta; Magnoliopsida; Sapindales; Rutaceae. The record is from RNAcentral.
GUUUCUAGGCCUUUUGGAGAGUUCGGAUUGAAGCAACAUUUGCCUUAGCUAAUACAACAUCUAAGGUAUUGUUAUUAUUCUCACCUUUAUUUAUUAAAUAUAUUGAGCACAUGGUAGGUCCACCAAAAUGUAUGCAAAAUCUAUUCACCAGAGGUAUUCGCAUAAAGUGAAUUUUUGUGAGAGACUACUCUUCAACUGUGAAAACUACUUUGGUAGUUCUCAAACCCAUUACAAUUGAUUGGUGCUUGUGUUUUUCUAUUAGAAAGAUAUCUUCUGUAAAAUCUUUGUGAACUACAUUUUUGGAAAUGCAAAUGCUUUGUGUGGUGGUGAUUGUGCUUAUUUGCUUGGUCUUCUAGCAUUUCAGUGAAAUGAUUUAUUUUGACUUGUGCUUAUGACUAACUUGUUGACAGAGAAACUAGGCCAUUUAUGGAUGCACUGAUAUGAAUCCUAUAAUUUUUGUCUUAAUUGACAUGUUGAACGUUUUGGAAGAUAUUUUUUUUUAUUUGAUUUGUCACAUAUUGUGCUUUAUUAGUUGGAAAUGUUUUGGUUUGUGGACCAUGUUGCACUUAUCAGUUCUCAAUAUUGAUAUAUGAUAUAUACGCACUAUUGUACUGGAAAUUGAUUGAGUUGGUUUGCUCCAUCUGGUGAAAUUUUAUAAAAGUCGAAGGUUUGAUGAGAAUAUUGGACUCCCCAAGUGAGAAUCUAUCUAAGUUUGAAAUUGUUCUGAUAUCGUUGCUGCAGCACUUUGUUAACGUUUUUGUUUUCUGCUGAUCAUUCCAGGCCAAAUGAUAUCCGUGAUUUUUCAGAGUAUUUGUUCUUGAGGUAAUGCCUUGAGGUAAGGUAUGUAAUGAGUUGUGUGAAGUGGGAUGUGAUAAUAAUUUUGCCCUUGCUUCAUGUGAUGAAAUCGCACAUAAUUUGCCCUUGCUUUAUGUGAUGAAAUCUUUGGGUGGUUUGUUUAUUUAGUGUUUUUCUAUUUCUUUUUAUAUGCUAAUUUUCAUAGUUCUAGAGCAAGUCUUUCUCUAGUCAUUUUGAAAUCCUUCCACAUGCUGCUUCUUAGCCAAGAUUGUCUUGCCCUAAUGAACAAGUUAAAUGGAUUUGCGUUGCUUGGAGUCUCAGUGUAAUAUAUGUGUUUUAGAACUUAGAUUGAUAAACAAAUUUGAACAAAUACAGUGGAAGAAGAAUAAAGAGAAGAUUAAAAAAAAAGAGUAGAAAUAAAGAAAAGGAUGGUGAAACUUUAGGAGAAUAGGGGAAUCAAGAGAAGAGGAUAGAAUUUUGAUGGAUUUUAUUUAAUUAUGUAACGGAGGUUUUUUGUUGUUAGAUGUUGUGCGUUAAUUAAUUUGUAAUCUUGGAAAAAUACUUUAUCAUGAAUUGGGUUAAUUGUAAGUGGCCAAUACACUAAUAUAUAUUCUUCUAGUACUCAUCUAAAUGUAAUCUGUGUUUCAGGUGAUGUUGGUGGCUCUUGGGAAUUUACUAUCAGUGUUCUUUUUACGAAUUAAUUGUUUUUCUAAUGAUGGGGUAGUGAUUGAAUAUUGUAGAGAAUUUAUGAGCUAUUCUUACGGAUUUGAUUCACCAUGUAUUUUGAUGAUACUAUUUGUUGGAAGUUUCAAGUAAUUGAAAUUUUUAGUAUAUGGUGAUAUUUGGUAUUUGAU